This 890-nucleotide ribosomal RNA is filed under the name Psathyrella maculata. Its description in RNAcentral is "LSU rRNA". It matches the Rfam family "Eukaryotic large subunit ribosomal RNA", at positions 33 to 909 of the family's 3401-position model. Lineage: Eukaryota; Fungi; Basidiomycota; Agaricomycetes; Agaricales; Psathyrellaceae. The record is from RNAcentral.
CUUAAGCAUAUCAAUAAGCGGAGGAAAAGAAACUAACAAGGAUUCCCCUAGUAACUGCGAGUGAAGCGGGAAAAGCUCAAAUUUAAAAUCUGGUGGUCUUCGGCCAUCCGAGUUGUAAUCUAGAGAAGCGUUACCCGCGUCGGACCGUGUACAAGUCUCCUGGAAUGGAGCAUCAUAGAGGGUGAGAAUCCCGUCUUUGACACGGACUACCGAGGCUUUGUGGUACGCUCUCAAAGAGUCGAGUUGUUUGGGAAUGCAGCUCAAAAUGGGUGGUAAAUUCCAUCUAAAGCUAAAUAUUGGCGAGAGACCGAUAGCGAACAAGUACCGUGAGGGAAAGAUGAAAAGAACUUUGGAAAGAGAGUUAAACAGUACGUGAAAUUGCUGAAAGGGAAACGCUUGAAGUCAGUCGCGUUGUCCGGAAAUCAGCCUUGCUUUUGCUGGGUGUAUUUUCUGGUUAACGGGCCAGCAUCAGUUUUGACCGGUGGAAAAAGUCUAGAGGAAUGUGGCAUCUUCGGAUGUGUUAUAGCCUUUGGUCGUAUACAUCGGUUGGGACUGAGGAACUCAGCACGCCGCAAGGCCGGGUCUUUGACCACGUACGUGCUUAGGAUGCUGGCAUAAUGGCUUUAAUCGACCCGUCUUGAAACACGGACCAAGGAGUCUAACAUGCCUGCGAGUGUUUGGGUGAAAAACCCGGACGCGUAAUGAAAGUGAAAGUCGAGAUCCUUGUCAUGGGGAGCAUCGACGCCCGGACCAGAAGUUUUCUGACGGCCCUGCGGUAGAGCAUGUAUGUUGGGACCCGAAAGAUGGUGAACUAUGCCUGAAUAGGGUGAAGCCAGAGGAAACUCUGGUGGAGGCUCGUAGCGAUUCUGACGUGCAAAUCGAUCGUCAAA